This 871-nucleotide unclassified non-coding RNA is filed under the name Hevea brasiliensis (rubber tree). Lineage: Eukaryota; Viridiplantae; Streptophyta; Magnoliopsida; Malpighiales; Euphorbiaceae. The record is from RNAcentral.
GGAAAGACGAACAAUAGAAUAUCUUCAGGAGAGCAUCAGUGUCGUCAAUUCUCAUUGGAUGAGAUGGAAAGAUCAACCAACAAUUUUGAUCCUCAGCUUAUCAUUGGUAGCGGUGGAUAUGGCCCAGUAUAUAAAGGAGAAAUUGAUGGUGGAGAAACCACUGUAGCAGUUAAGCGAUUGAAACGAGGAUCUAGCCAGGGGGAGAGAGAGUUUUGGAUGGAAAUCAAUAUGUUAUCUACGCACCGCCAUGACAACCUUCUCUCCCUUAUUGGUUACUGCAUUGAAGGUCAUGAGAUGUUAUUAGUUUAUGAUUAUAUGCCUCGAGGAUCACUUGCUGACAACCUGUACAAAAUGGACAGAAAUUGCUCAUCUCUCUCUUGGGAACGGAGACUUAAGAUUGCUAUGGGUGCUGCACGUGGACUGGAUUUCCUUCAUACAUCUCAAAACAGGGUGAUACAUCGUGAUAUGAAAACCUCAAACAUUUUGUUGGAUGAAAACUGGGAAAGUAAGAUUUCAGAUUUUGGGUUGUCCAAAAUGGGGCCUGGAAAUGAAUCAGCUACUCAUGUUAGUACACAAGUCAAAGGCACAUUUGGUUACCUCGAUCCUGAGUACUUCCAAACUAAUAGAUUGACAUGGAAAACUGAUGUGUAUGCUUUUGGAGUAGUACUAUUUGAAUUGCUCUCAGGAAGACCUGCAGUCGAUAUGAGCCUGCCUGAGGAGCAACAUGGACUUGUAGCAUGGGCCAAGCAAUGCAUCAGGGAAGGAGAAGUUAAUAAGCUUAUUGACCUGAAUCUGGCAGGGCCUAUCUCAUCAACUUGUUUGAAGGUGUUUGUAGGAACUGCAGGAAAAUGCUUGGAUGAUAAUCCACGUG